This 253-nucleotide ribosomal RNA is filed under the name uncultured bacterium. Its description in RNAcentral is "partial 16S ribosomal RNA". It matches the Rfam family "Bacterial small subunit ribosomal RNA", at positions 524 to 776 of the family's 1533-position model. The record is from RNAcentral.
GACGUAGGAGACAAACGUUAUCCGGAGUUACUGGGCGUAAAGGGCGUGUAGGCGGUUUGUUAAGUCUGGCGUGAAAGCUCUCGGCUAAACCGGGAGAGGUCGUUGGAUACUGGCAGACUAGAGGACGGUAGAGGCGUGUGGAAUUCCGGGUGUAGUGGUGAAAUGCGUAGAUAUUAGGAAGAACACCAGUGGCGAAGGCGACUUACUGGACGAUUGUUGACGCUGAGGUGCGAAAGCGUGGGGAGCAAACAGG